RNAcentral lists this ribosomal RNA (164 nucleotides) under uncultured bacterium. Its description in RNAcentral is "partial 16S ribosomal RNA". It matches the Rfam family "Bacterial small subunit ribosomal RNA", at positions 191 to 353 of the family's 1533-position model. The record is from RNAcentral.
CGACCAGAGGGAAAAGGAGCAAUCCGCUUUGAGAUGGCCUCGCGUCCGAUUAGCUAGUUGGUGAGGUAACGGCCCACCAAGGCAACGAUCGGUAGCCGGACUGAGAGGUUGAACGGCCACAUUGGGACUGAGACACGGCCCAGACUCCUACGGGAGGCAGCAUG